This 451-nucleotide ribosomal RNA is filed under the name Chlorogomphus brunneus. RNAcentral describes it as "partial 16S ribosomal RNA". It matches the Rfam family "Bacterial large subunit ribosomal RNA", at positions 1926 to 2585 of the family's 2925-position model. The record is from RNAcentral. Lineage: Eukaryota; Metazoa; Arthropoda; Insecta; Odonata; Chlorogomphidae.
AACGGCCGCGGUAUUCUGACCGUGCAAAGGUAGCAUAAUCAUUAGUCUUUUAAUAGAGGGCUGGAAUGAAGGGUUUGACGAAAUGCUUACUGUCUCAUUUAAUUUGAAAUUUGAAUUUGACUUUUUAGUUAAAAGGCUAAAUUGUUGUUGGAAGACGAGAAGACCCUAUAGAGCUUUAUAUUUUAAAAUUUAAAAGAUUUUUGUUUAAUUGUUAUUUUUUAAAUGGAAAAAUAUUUUGUUGGGGUGACAAAAAUAUAGAAUAAACUUUUUUAUUUAUUUAACAUUGAUAUAUGAGUAUUAGAUCCAUUAUUAUUGAUUGUUAGAGAAAGUUACCUUAGGGAUAACAGCGUAAUCUUCCUCCAGAGUUCAAAUUUACAGGAAGGCUUGCGACCUCGAUGUUGGAUUAAGAUAAUAAUUAGGUGCAGCCGCUUAAUUAAUAGGUCUGUUCGAC